Molecule: non-coding RNA, 1199 nt
Organism: Danio rerio (zebrafish)
Lineage: Eukaryota; Metazoa; Chordata; Actinopteri; Cypriniformes; Danionidae
Source: RefSeq, a predicted model, not a curated record
GUGUACUAUUUCUGUAUUGUACCCUCAGUCAGUGUUUCUCUCUCUCGAGUUCAGCUCUCCAAAGCAGUUAAUAAAAAUAAAAUAUAGAACACUGAAACGAUGGACAAAGCUGACUGACACACUCCUGAGUCAUUAAAGCAGCAGCUUCUUUGGAAGAAGGACUGAUGGGUGGGCAGAGGAACAGGACGAUUUGAACAACUUUAGUUCUAGUGGAAAUAAACCCACACUUCUGAAAUCGGAUGAAUAUGUGGAAAGGCUGAUGUGAUCGACACAACAGGCAAAGGAAACACAGCUGACUGGAAAUCUUCAAGAGCAUGUGUUUAAACAGAGCUGAAAAGGAGAAAUAGGAGGAAGUUGCAAUGGAUUUCUUACAAAAGAACUUCUGGGCUGUUUUAAUCCUAGCCAUCAUUCUGGUGUCUGUGAUCAUAGUGAUUAUUUUCAUCUUCAUCAACAUUUGUCUCCGCAGAAGAGCUUCUUGGUACAGUACACAAGCAAAAACAAAUCAUUAUGGUCACUCAGACUCAAAACCAGUGGACAACCAAGCACAUAACAAAGACCUAGGAAAUGAAAAACCACCCUUACCUCCAAGAGAUCAAUUCCUGUCCACAAACUCUGUGGGUGCCAGUUACGAAGAUAUACCGACUGUGCCGGACUACGUGGAGAUUGAAGAUUCAACACCAGCUUUUCCCCAACAGCCUGUCUUCAUUCCAGAGUACGCUGUGGAGAUAAAAAGUCAGGAUGAAGAAAGCGAGGAUUACGAUGAUGUUGAAAACCCUGACGACAGCGAGGAUUACGAUGAUGUUGGAUAGAGGGCAUAUCAACAGUAACUCUAUACUUUAGCUUUAGCUGGACAUAUAAAAGAACCCAGAUAUCAGCUGUACAUUUACUAAGUCAUUAUUUGAGCAGAAACAAGUACUAUCUGUGCAAUCUAUUACAAGUGUGAUUACAUUCUCUAAAGUGAUGCAAUCUUUCACUUCCUAUUUUUACGAAGGAAAUACGUCUAACUGAAAUAUCAUUUUAACUGGUAAUUUUCUCAUGAAGUAGUUUCGAAAUCUCAAAAAAAAAAAAAUAUUGUGGAAACCCCAUGGUCUUAAAUAGUGUAACAGAGUUUCUGUCUUGCUUCUACACUACCUGACAAAAGUCUUGUUCAAGUUUUAGGAGGAACAAAUAAUAACUUUACUUCUAGUUGAUCAUUUGGA